UUAAAAAGCAAAGCUAGAGAAAUUUAGUGACGCAAAGCUAAAGGGACUAAGGUUUUUAACUAUGUCAGCCAGUUGCCGG
This 79-nucleotide non-coding RNA is filed under the name uncultured Clostridium sp. Its description in RNAcentral is "Cyclic di-GMP-I riboswitch". It matches the Rfam family "c-di-GMP-I riboswitch aptamer". Rfam says of the family: GEMM was predicted in a large-scale screen for bacterial structured RNA regulatory elements. Genes associated with GEMM are involved in a diverse array of functions, including chemotaxis regulation, signal transduction, secretion and chitin. The record is from RNAcentral. Lineage: Bacteria; Bacillati; Bacillota; Clostridia; Eubacteriales; Clostridiaceae.